RNAcentral lists this ribosomal RNA (406 nucleotides) under uncultured bacterium. RNAcentral's name for it is "partial 16S ribosomal RNA". It matches the Rfam family "Bacterial small subunit ribosomal RNA", at positions 30 to 526 of the family's 1533-position model. The record is from RNAcentral.
AUUGACCGCUGGCGGCAGGCCUAACACAUGCAAGUCGAACGAGUGGCGGACGGGUGAGUAAUGUCUGGGAAACUGCCUGAUGGAGGGGGAUAACUACUGGAAACGGUAGCUAAUACCGCAUACCAUCAGAUGUGCCCAGAUGGGAUUAGCUUUUGGGUGGGGUAACGCCUCACCAAGGCGACGAUCCCUAGCUGGUCUGAGAGGAUGACCAGCCACACUGGAACUGAGACACGGUCCAGACUCCUACGGGGGGCAUGAGGGGGGAAUAUUGCACAAUGGGCGCAAGCCUGAUGAAGCCAUGCCGCGUGUAUGAAGAAGGCCUUCGGGUUGUAAAGUACUUUCAGCGGGGAGGCGUUACCCGCAGAAGAAGCACCGGCUAACUCCGUGCCAGCCGCCGCGGUAAUUC